AUUGAACGCUGGCGGCAGGCUUAACACAUGCAAGUCGAACGAGCGGCGGACGGGUGAGUAAUGUCUGGGAAACUGCCUGAUGGAGGGGGAUAACUACUGGAAACGGUAGCUAAUACCGCAUACCAUCGGAUGUGCCCAGAUGGGAGUAGCUAGUAGGUGGGGUAACGGCGCACCUAGGCGACGAUCCCUAGCUGGUCUGAGAGGAUGACCAGCCACACUGGAACUGAGACACGGUCCAGACUCCUACGGGAGGCAGCAGUGGGGAAUAUUGCACAAUGGGCGCAAGCCUGAUGCAGCCAUGCCGCGUGUGUGAAGAAGGCCUUCGGGUUGUAAAGUACUUUCAGCGAGGAGGCGUUACCCGCAGAAGAAGCACCGGCUAACUCCGUGCCAGCAGCCGCGGUAAUUC
This 406-nucleotide ribosomal RNA is filed under the name uncultured bacterium. RNAcentral's name for it is "partial 16S ribosomal RNA". It matches the Rfam family "Bacterial small subunit ribosomal RNA", at positions 30 to 526 of the family's 1533-position model. The record is from RNAcentral.